AUUCUAGUACAACGUCAAAAUAUUUCACUGGUGAUGGAAGUGAUGUUGAGAGAGAGAUCACGUUUUAGAAAUCUAAGGUAAUAUUCCCAUUUUUGGAUAGUUAAAGACCUAGUCAAAAUUAUAGCUUGGCCCACAAAGUCUGAUGUUGGAACUCUGCCAAGUGUGAAGACGUAUUCUUCCAUCACGGUAAGGAUAUGUGGAUGAGAAGAACCACAACACAAUGAAGACAACAGUCAAAGUAUGUUAUCAAGUGUCAUGCCUGGGGGAAAGCCUGGCUGUCUAUGCAGAGGCUCUGGAAGAGAAAUUAGGUUGCUGACUGGCUGGAGAUAAUUUGCUCUAUGUAAUUCUGAAGACAUCAUUUCAGUGAAGAUCUCUUCUUGUAAUUCUUCAAGACGUUUUUCUUUGAGGGGAUCAUGCUAACAAAAUGGAAAAAUGCUUCUGACAUCUAAAAGAGUAUCUUUGCCAUCCAUCCUUUUGUUGUAGCUAUUAAAAUGUGUAGAUGCAAAAUUCUGACUCCAAUUACAAUGUGUGUGGAGGGUUUCCACACCACUAAGCAAUUCUUGGACACCAGCUGGGUGUCAUAUACUUCAACUCAAUUCUGACACUAUCUACCUGGAGAUGGUGUCAGAUCCCACAGGUUAAGGGUUCAGUGAUACAAGACUGCACCCCGCCCCUUUCAGAUGCCAACUGCAAGUCCAGGUUGUCACCUGUGCUUCUGACGGACUGGCUAUAGAUCGGAGGUUCCAGUGACCGCUCCUUGGGUUUGAUUACUUCACUAGA
Molecule: long non-coding RNA, 780 nt
Organism: Diceros bicornis minor
Lineage: Eukaryota; Metazoa; Chordata; Mammalia; Perissodactyla; Rhinocerotidae
Exons: 5
Source: RefSeq, a predicted model, not a curated record